RNAcentral lists this unclassified non-coding RNA (1111 nucleotides) under Penaeus monodon (black tiger shrimp). RNAcentral's name for it is "uncharacterized LOC119570914, transcript variant X1". The record is from RNAcentral. Lineage: Eukaryota; Metazoa; Arthropoda; Malacostraca; Decapoda; Penaeidae.
UGGAAGUCGUCGAGAAAAUUGUUGUGUUCAAAGAUCACGAUAAUAAUUAUUGGCUGGAUGCAGAUGGUUCAGUGCCAUUCCCAGAAAAUUCGGUGGUGUACCGUAGAAGCACCGAUUUUCCUGAGAGGUAUUUUGCAGACCAGGAGUUAACAGUGGAAUGGGCUCUCGAGUGGCUACCACGAACAGUUGAAGUAUACCCUCGCAGGGUACUUGGGAAACCAGUCUUUGCCUAUCAGAACUUUCCUGCUGUCUCCUCCGGAACCACAUCGCCUUCUCAUGCUACCAUGUCACCCACAUGCUCUUCCUACUUGCUUAAAUCCAGUUCUUCCCUCAACAUCCACUUCACCAUCUUCCUUGGUAUCUACACCAAUUACUUCCCCAGAGCGGGUUGUUGGUGUAGAACCAAGUGAAAUCGAGGAAGCCGAGGGUUUCACUAAAAAUGAAACCAAAUUUUUUAUAAAUCUUAUGCAGGAAUAUCUGCAAAAGAAUUAUAACCCAUUGCCUUCCUCGAUAGCAGAGUUGCAGGAAAGGAUUAAUUUAACAAAAGGGAAGAAAAGGUUGCUUUAGCAGAAAUUGGCCCAGAGGAUGACGGUGAUUUUUGGGAAGAGAUUCCAUCCUGAGAAACUUCAGCGUAAGUGGAAGGGUCUACAGGAUGACUUUAAGAAGGCGAAAGCCAAUAAUGAAAUGUCUGGGAGAGGUCCCAGUAAAUUUCAGUUUUCAAGGAGAUGAAGUAACUGAUAGGGGGUCAGCAUGAUAUUGACUUUCCAGUAACAGCCACAGCCAAGGGGAUUCACAUUCAUCGACCAGAUGAAUUGGAUGAAGACCUUGAUGACCCUGACCCUGUGGCUAGUGCUGACCCUGUGGCUGAUCCCAUACCUGGACCCUCACACUUGGAAGUGCCACCACCAGCACGGAGACAAAGGAAGAGGCGACAGGCCAAGGAGAGUGAGACGGUAGUCUUUUUGAGGGAGAGUGACCAGCGUCACUAUGAAAUUAUGAGAGAAGUUUUAGAUGAAAUUAUGAGAGAAGUUUUAGAGCUCAUGAAGAGGAUGCGAGAGGAAGUUGUGGAUGUGCUCUCUGAAAUAGUUAAGAAGAUGUGAUAUAUUUUCAA